GCCGCCGCUGAGGUGAUGAAGGCCUUCGGGUUGUAAAGCUCUUUUGCCGGGGACGAUAAGGAUAAUGACGGUACCGGAAGAAUAAGCCCCGGCUAACUCCGUGCCAGCAGCCGCGGUAAUACGGAGGGUGCAAGCGUUAUNUCGGAAUUACUGGGCGUAAAGCGCGCGUAGGCGGUUUUGUAAGUCAGAGGUGAAAUCCCCGGGCUCAACCCGGGAACUGCCUUUGAUACUGCCUAGCUAGAGUCCGGGAGAGGUUAGUGGAAUUCCCAGUGUAGCGGUGAAAUUCGUAGAUAUCCGGAGGAACACCA
RNAcentral lists this ribosomal RNA (308 nucleotides) under uncultured bacterium. RNAcentral describes it as "bacterial SSU rRNA". It matches the Rfam family "Bacterial small subunit ribosomal RNA", at positions 393 to 711 of the family's 1533-position model. The record is from RNAcentral.